GUGACUGGGAGCAAAGCAUGACAUUUCUUCCUUUCAUAUCAAAAGGCAGAAAUUCUCAUUCCUUGGAAGUAUUUGUCAUUUUGAACAUGCUUGUACAAAUUCUCUCUUAACUCCUACAAGUGCUGUGCUGUAGGUCCAGGCAUGGAAAGAUCCCAAUUAGACCAGGAGGAAGCAGGACUGAAUCUCCUCCUGUUUCCACAUACGAGAUGUUUCAUGUAAUGCCCAGUUCCAUAGAAGUUUUUCAGCUAUUCAGUAAUUAAACAGUGUCUUUGUCAGGGUACUUUUACCACAGGGAAGUCUUUCCUCUUCAUGUCUUACAUAAAAUGAGGAGGCACAGUUCCCAUGGUAGCUGUAGGUGUGAGACUGAUAUUGGAUUAGAAGAAGGUAUCUUCUUUUCUUCCUCCUCCUCUCCCGCUCCCCAUGAAGUAAAAUUGCUUGAUUAAAUAGAAACUGGGACUUGAGGUGGGUUAAGUGUGAGCUGUUUGUGGAACUGAGGUGUAGUGGCUUCCCCAGAAGUACUGGGGUAGCGGAACAGCCAUUAGAUCCUGGACUGGCCACCUCAUCUGACCUCUCCAUCUCUCUGCUCCAGACAGGAGAUGCGCUCAUACCUUCCCUAAAUGUGCUGUGCCUCGAUCACGAGGAUGCUGUAGCAAACAAAGCCUGUGUUGACCCUCAGAUCAAAGCACUGACAGAAGUGACACACUUAAUAUCGGGGGGUCCAAACCUGGAUAUCUACCAAUGGAGAUGGAGAUCAGACACUUAACAAGAACAACUUGAUACCAGAUGACAGGACCAACUUCUACCCCUUGCAGCAAACCAACGUGUACACGACAACCUACUAUCCCAGUACACUGAAUAAAUAUGACUACAGGCCCGAGGCCUCUCCUGGAAGGACCUUUACCAACAGCUGAUGAUGGACAGAUCCUACAGGACUAGAUCACUUCCUAUA
This is a non-coding RNA of Meleagris gallopavo (turkey), 949 nucleotides long. The record is from RefSeq and is a predicted model, not a curated record. NCBI's taxonomy places the organism in Eukaryota, Metazoa, Chordata, Aves, Galliformes, Phasianidae.